GACGAACCGUGCGAACGUUGUUCGGAUUCACUGGGCUUAAAGGGCGCGUAGGCGGGCAGGCAAGUCAGGGGUGAAAGCCCACGGCUCAACCGUGGAAGUGCCUUUGAUACUGCCGGCCUUGAGGGAGGUAGGGGCGUGCGGAACUUCCGGUGGAGCGGUGAAAUGCGUAGAUAUCGGAAGGAACACCGGUGGCGAAAGCGGCGCGCUGGACCUCUUCUGACGCUGAGGCGCGAAAGCCAGGGGAGCAAACGGG
Molecule: ribosomal RNA, 253 nt
Filed under: uncultured bacterium
Lineage: Bacteria
Description: partial 16S ribosomal RNA
Rfam family: Bacterial small subunit ribosomal RNA
Source: RNAcentral